UACGUAGGUGGCGAGCGUUGUCCGGAAUUAUUGGGCGUAAAGGGCGCGUAGGCGGUCAUUUAAGUCAGGUGUGAAAGCCCCCGGCUCAACUGGGGAGGGUCACUUGAUACUGAAUGGCUAGAGUGCGGGAGAGGGAAGUGGAAUUCCAUGUGUAGCGGUGAAAUGCGUAGAUAUAUGGAGGAACACCAGUGGCGAAGGCGGCUUCCUGGACCGUAACUGACGCUGAGGCGCGAAAGCUGGGGGAGUGAACGGG
Molecule: ribosomal RNA, 253 nt
Filed under: Nannocystineae bacterium
Lineage: Bacteria; Pseudomonadati; Myxococcota; Myxococcia; Myxococcales
Also listed under: 1 other name
Description: partial 16S ribosomal RNA
Rfam family: Bacterial small subunit ribosomal RNA
Source: RNAcentral